CCCUUAGAGUUUGAUCAUGGCUCAGAGUGAACGCUGGCGGCGUGGAUUAGGCAUGCAAGUCGAGCGAUCUCGCAAGAGAUAGCGGCAAAAGGGUGAGUAACACGUAAGUAAUCUUCCUUCAAGACGGGGAUAGCACCGUGAAAACGGUGGUAAUACCCGAUAAUAUUAGCGACCCGCAUGGGUUGCUAAUUAAAGACGGGGACCGCAAGGCCUGUCGCUUAAAGAUGAGCUUGCGUACCAUCAGCUAGUUGGUAGGGUAACGGCCUACCAAGGCUAAGACGGUUAGCUGGUCUGAGAGGACGGUCAGCCACACUGGGACUGAGACACUGCCCAGACUCCUACGGGAGGCUGCAGUCGAGGAUAUUUAGCAAUGGACGAAAGUCUGACUAUGCGACGCCGCGUGCAGGAUGAAGGUCUUCGGAUUGUAAACUGCUUUUGUUAGGGGAGAAACCUGUAUUAUUAACAGUAAUACAGCUGACGGUACCUGACGAAUAAGCCACGGCUAACUCCGUGCCAGCAGCCGCGGUAAUACGGAGGUGGCAAGCGUUACUCGGAAUUAUUGGGUGUAAAGGGCAGGUAGGUGGUCUUGUAAGUGAGGGGUGAAAUCCCAUGGUUCAAUCAUGGAACUGCCUUUCAAACUGCAGGACUUGAGAGUGUUAGGGGAGAAUGGAAUUCCCGGUGUAAGGGUGAAAUCUGUAGAUAUCGGGAAGAACACCAACAGCGAAGGCAAUUCUCUGGGACACUUCUGACGCUGAACUGCGAAAGCUAGGGGAGCAAACAGAAUUAGAUACUCUGGUAGUCCUAGCCGUAAACGAUGAAUACUAGGUGUUGGUCCUUUCGGGGAUCAGUGCCGAAGCUAACGCAUUAAGUAUUCCACCUGGGGACUACGAUCGCAAGGUUAAAACUCAAAGGAAUUGACGGGGGCCC
RNAcentral lists this ribosomal RNA (927 nucleotides) under uncultured bacterium. RNAcentral describes it as "bacterial SSU rRNA". It matches the Rfam family "Bacterial small subunit ribosomal RNA", at positions 1 to 922 of the family's 1533-position model. The record is from RNAcentral.